This is an RNA transcript of Rhodamnia argentea, 1998 nucleotides long. It is a transcript of the gene named probable L-cysteine desulfhydrase, chloroplastic, with no coding region annotated. The transcript has 3 exons. NCBI's taxonomy places the organism in Eukaryota, Viridiplantae, Streptophyta, Magnoliopsida, Myrtales, Myrtaceae. The record is from RefSeq and is a predicted model, not a curated record.
AGCAGCAGAACAUAAAUAAUCCCCCCUAAAAUCCCAUGGCUUCUCUCUCUUCAUCUUGUUCUUGAUCUUCGAGUGACGAGGACCACCCAAUUCCUCGCCGACCCACCCACCCACCCAUCCAUGGCCUCCCCCAAGAGCCACCGCCACCACCCCCAACCCAACGGCGACCUCAAGACCCAUGUCCCCAAGAAGCAGAAAGUCCCCGCCUUUCUCACCGAUUCCGACCUCCAGUCCGAGUUCGCCCACCACGACCCUUCCGUCGCCCGGAUCAACAACGGCAGCUUCGGCUCCUGCCCCGCCUCCGUCAUCGCCGCCCAGCAGCAGUGGCAGCUCACGUUCCUGAGGCAGCCCGACAGCUUCUACUUCAACGGCCUCAAGAAGGGGAUCCUCGAAUCCAGGGCCGUCAUCAAGGACCUCAUCAACGCCGAAGACGUCAACGAGAUCUCCAUCGUCGACAACGCCACGACCGCUGUCGCUAUUGUGCUCCAGCAGAUCGCCUGGGCCUUCGCGGAAGGGAGGUUCCUCAAGGGCGACGUCGCGGUCAUGCUCCACUACGCCUAUGGCGCGGUCAAGAAGUCGGUCGAGGCGUACGUGACGCGCGCCGGCGGGCGAGUGAUCGAAGUUCAGCUGCCGUUCCCGGUGAGUUCUAGGGAAGAGAUUGUGUCCGAGUUUAGGGCGGCCUUGGAGAGAGGGAAGGUGGACGGGAGGAAAGUGAGGUUAGCUGUUAUUGAUCACGUCACGUCGAUGCCGACCGUGGUGAUUCCCGUCAAGGAAUUGGUCAAGAUUUGUAGAGAGGAGGGCGUUGACCAGGUUUUCGUGGAUGCAGCACAUGGGAUUGGGUGUGUUGACCUGGAUAUGAAGGAAAUUGGGGCUGAUUUUUACACUAGCAAUCUGCACAAGUGGUUUUUCUGCCCGCCUUCCGUCGCGUUUUUGUACUGCAGGAAGUCUCCGAGAUCGAUGGAACUGCAUCACCCGGUCGUGUCCGAUGAGUAUGGUAACGGGUUGGCUAUAGAAAGUGCUUGGAUCGGAACGAGGGAUUACAGUGCUCAGCUGGUGGUGCCUUCCGUGUUGGAAUUUCUUGAUAGGUUCGAAGGCGGUAUUGACGGGAUUAAGAAGAGAAAUCACGAGGCUGUGGUGAGAAUGGGGGAGAUGCUGGCGAAGGCCUGGGGGACGAGCCUCGGCUGUCCGCCGGAUAUGUGUGGGAGCAUGAUCAUGGUAGGUUUGCCUGCUUGUUUGGAGAUAUCGAACGAAGCGGACACCCUGACGUUGAGGGCCCAUUUGAGGGAGAGUUUUGGUGUUGAAGUCCCGAUUUAUUACCGAUCUCCAAAAGAGGGCGAGGUUGGUCCAAUUACAGGGUAUGCUAGAAUCUCGCAUCAGGUUUACAAUAAGGAAGAGGAUUACUACAAGUUUAGAGAUGCGAUUAACAAACUCGUGGGCACUAAGUUCACUUGCAAGCUUCUUCAUGAUUAGUAAGGUGGCUUUAUGGACUCCAAUGGAUGAACAAUAGUGUUGUUUGUUUACUAUUUAAUGGGCAGAGAGAUUCUACUGAGGAACAUUCUCCAACUAUACGGUAGUUAUGCACUGUAGAUGUAAACAAAACAGAAAAGGCUUCAGGGCGAGUUGAGAAGGGCGAUAAACUUUAAUGUGUUCUGAUAAUAAGAGCUGCAGUUUUCAGCUCAGCUUGCAUGCCGUUGGCGGCCAUCAUGGUUUAGUUACCAUGGGAAUCCAAGAAGUCUGCAGGAACCAGGAACCGAGAGGAUGUGCAUUGGCUUUGUAAUUAGAGUUUUAGGAAAGAUCUCGACUGUGGGAUCGUUUAGAUUAAGAGAUGCUGACGACGGGCUCUACUAAUUCUUGUUGUUUAAUGCUUUGUUGAUCCUCGUCGGUGCAAAUAAAUAAGAACGAACCUGUUCUCGUGUCGGAGAAGCUGCCCAUAAAGACCGCGGGUUGAAGCUUUUGUUGAUGUUUGUAUUGAUUCUGCACAACUUGUUCCUUUAGGUA